UGCCCCGUGGCUUAGUUGGUUACGGCGUCCGACUGUUAUUCCAUACGACAUCGGAAGAUCGAGAGUUCAAGUCUCUCCGGGGCAG
RNAcentral lists this transfer RNA (85 nucleotides) under Agrocybe pediades. It matches the Rfam family "tRNA". Rfam says of the family: Transfer RNA (tRNA) molecules are approximately 80 nucleotides in length. Their secondary structure includes four short double-helical elements and three loops (D, anti-codon, and T loops). The record is from Rfam by way of RNAcentral. Lineage: Eukaryota; Fungi; Basidiomycota; Agaricomycetes; Agaricales; Agrocybaceae.